Molecule: ribosomal RNA, 616 nt
Filed under: uncultured bacterium
Lineage: Bacteria
Description: bacterial SSU rRNA
Rfam family: Bacterial small subunit ribosomal RNA
Source: RNAcentral
CCUACGGGAGGCAGCAGUGGGGAAUUUUGGACAAUGGGCGAAAGCCUGAUCCAGCAAUGCCGCGUGAGUGAAGAAGGCCUUCGGGUUGUAAAGCUCUUUUGUCAGGGAAGAAACGGUGAGGGCUAAUAUCCCUUGCUAAUGACGGUACCUGAAGAAUAAGCACCGGCUAACUACGUGCCAGCAGCCGCGGUAAUACGUAGGGUGCAAGCGUUAAUCGGAAUUACUGGGCGUAAAGCGUGCGCAGGCGGUUUUGUAAGUCUGUCGUGAAAUCCCCGGGCUCAACCUGGGAAUUGCGAUGGAGACUGCAAGGCUAGAAUCUGGCAGAGGGGGGUAGAAUUCCACGUGUAGCAGUGAAAUGCGUAGAGAUGUGGAGGAACACCGAUGGCGAAGGCAGCCCCCUGGGUCAAGAUUGACGCUCAUGCACGAAAGCGUGGGGAGCAAACAGGAUUAGAUACCCUGGUAGUCCACGCCCUAAACGAUGUCUACUAGUUGUCGGGUUUUAAUUAACUUGGUAACGCAGCUAACGCGUGAAGUAGACCGCCUGGGGAGUACGGUCGCAAGAUUAAAACUCAAAUGAAUUGACGGCNGAGAGNGACGAGACGACGACGAGGAGAGG